GUGGGGAAUAUUGGACAAUGGGCGCAAGCCUGAUCCAGCCAUGCCGCGUGAGUGAUGAAGGCCUUCGGGUUGUAAAGCUCUUUAGUCCACGAAUAUAAUGACUGUAGUGGAAGAAUAAGCCCCGGCUAACUUCGUGCCAGCAGCCGCGGUAAUACGAAGGGGGCGAGCGUUAUUCGGAAUCACUGGGCGUAAAGCGUGCGUAGGCUGUUUUGUAAGUCAGAAGUGAAAGCCCAGGGCUUAACCCUGGAAUUGCUUUUGAAACUACAAGACUCGAAUUCGGGAGAGGAUAGCGGAAUUGUCAGUGUAGCAGUGAAAUGCGUAGAUAUUGACAGGAACACCAGUGGCGCAAGCGGCUAUCUGGACCGAUAUUGACGCUGAGGCACGAAAGCGUGGGGAGCAAACAGGAUUAGAUACCCCAGUAGUCC
Molecule: ribosomal RNA, 425 nt
Filed under: uncultured bacterium
Lineage: Bacteria
Description: partial 16S ribosomal RNA
Rfam family: Bacterial small subunit ribosomal RNA
Source: RNAcentral